AGAGUUUGAUCCUGGCUCAGAAUCAACGCUGGCGGCGUGCCUAACACAUGCAAGUCGCACGAGAAAGGGACUUCGGUCCUGAGUACAAUGGCGCACGGGUGAGUAACACGUGAAUCAUCUACCUUCGAGUGGGGAAUAACUGAGAGAAAUCUUAGCUAAUACCGCAUAACACUUACGAGUCAAAGCAGCAAUGCGCUGGAAGAGGGGGUCGCGGCCGAUUAGCUAGUUGGCGGGGUAAUGGCCCACCAAGGCAGUGAUCGGUAUCCGGCCUGAGAGGGCGCACGGACACACUGGAACUGAAACACGGUCCAGACUCCUACGGGAGGCAGCAGUGGGGAAUUUUGCGCAAUGGGGGAAACCCUGACGCAGCAACGCCGCGUGGAGGAUGAAGUCUCUUGGGACGUAAACUCCUUUCGAUCGGGACGAUAAUGACGGUACCGGAAGAAGAAGCCCCGGCUAACUUCGUGCCAGCAGCCGCGGUAAUACGAGGGGGGCAAGCGUUGUUCGGAAUUAUUGGGCGUAAAGGGUGCGUAGGCGGUCCGGCAAGUCUUGUGUGAAAUCUUCAGGCUCAACUUGAAGUCUGCAUAAGAAACUGCCGGGCUUGAGUAUGGGAGAGGUGAGUGGAAUUUCCGGUGUAGCGGUGAAAUGCGUAGAUAUCGGAAGGAACACCUGUGGCGAAAGCGGCUCACUGGACCAUAACUGACGCUGAGGCACGAAAGCUAGGGGAGCAAACAGGAUUAGAUACCCUGGUAGUCC
This 756-nucleotide ribosomal RNA is filed under the name uncultured bacterium. Its description in RNAcentral is "bacterial SSU rRNA". It matches the Rfam family "Bacterial small subunit ribosomal RNA", at positions 8 to 796 of the family's 1533-position model. The record is from RNAcentral.